GAUGUAGCUCAGUUGAUAGAGUGUUUGCCUCACAUGCACAAGGCCCUAAGUUCAAUCCCCAACACA
This 66-nucleotide transfer RNA is filed under the name Marmota monax (woodchuck). RNAcentral describes it as "tRNA.Val". The record is from RNAcentral. Lineage: Eukaryota; Metazoa; Chordata; Mammalia; Rodentia; Sciuridae.